Molecule: ribosomal RNA, 292 nt
Filed under: uncultured bacterium
Lineage: Bacteria
Description: partial 16S ribosomal RNA
Rfam family: Bacterial small subunit ribosomal RNA
Source: RNAcentral
GUGCCAGCCGCCGCGGUAAUACGAAGGACCCGAGCGUUAUCCGGAUUUAUUGGGUUUAAAGGGUGCGUAGGCGGAUUAAUAAGUCAGUGGUGAAAGCCCAUCGCUUAACGAUGGAACUGCCAUUGAUACUGUUAGUCUUGAGUAUGGUUGAGGUGGGCGGAAUGUGUCAUGUAGCGGUGAAAUGCUUAGAUAUGACACAGAACACCAAUUGCGAAGGCAGCUCGCUAAACCAUAACUGACGCUGAGGCACGAAAGCGUGGGUAGCAAACAGGAUUAGAUACCCCCGUAGUCC